GCAGUCAUAUCCGAGCGGUUAAGGCGAUGGAAUAGAAAUCCAUUGGGGUCUCCCCGCACAGGUUCGAAUCCUGUCGACUGCG
Molecule: transfer RNA, 82 nt
Filed under: Rhipicephalus sanguineus (brown dog tick)
Lineage: Eukaryota; Metazoa; Arthropoda; Arachnida; Ixodida; Ixodidae
Description: transfer RNA serine (anticodon AGA)
Rfam family: tRNA
About the family: Transfer RNA (tRNA) molecules are approximately 80 nucleotides in length.
Source: Rfam by way of RNAcentral